ACUCUGAUAAACCUAAAGGCGCAAUGAAAGUGAAGGUCCGCCUCGCGCGGACCGAGGGAGGAUGGGUCCGUUCUCGAACGGGCCCCGCACUCCCGGGGCGUCUCGUUCUCAUCGCGAGAUGAGGCGCACCCAGAGCGUACACGCUGGGACCCGAAAGAUGGUGAACUAUGCCUGGUCAGGACGAAGUCAGGGGAAACCCUGAUGGAGGUCCGUAGCGAUUCUGACGUGCAAAUCGAUCGUCGGAACUGGGUAUAGGGGCGAAAGACUAAUCGAACCAUCUAGUAGCUGGUUCCUUCCGA
RNAcentral lists this ribosomal RNA (299 nucleotides) under Onthophagus taurus. RNAcentral's name for it is "partial 28S ribosomal RNA". It matches the Rfam family "Eukaryotic large subunit ribosomal RNA", at positions 698 to 964 of the family's 3401-position model. Lineage: Eukaryota; Metazoa; Arthropoda; Insecta; Coleoptera; Scarabaeidae. The record is from RNAcentral.